This 461-nucleotide ribosomal RNA is filed under the name uncultured Acidobacteriota bacterium. Its description in RNAcentral is "bacterial SSU rRNA". It matches the Rfam family "Bacterial small subunit ribosomal RNA", at positions 32 to 525 of the family's 1533-position model. The record is from RNAcentral. Lineage: Bacteria; Pseudomonadati; Acidobacteriota.
AACGCUGGCGGCGUGCCUAACACAUGCAAGUCGAACGAGAAAGUGGAGCUAUCCAUGAGUAAAGUGGCGACCGGGUGAGUAACACGUGACUAACCUACCUCCGAGUGGGGAAUAACUCCGGGAAACCGGGGCUAAUACCGCAUAACAUCUCAAGAUCAAAGCAGCAAUGCGCUUGGAGAGGGGGUCGCGGCUGAUUAGCUAGUUGGUAGGGUAACGGCCUACCAAGGCGAAGAUCGGUAUCCGGCCUGAUAGGGCGCACGGACACACUGGAACUGAAACACGGUCCAGACUCCUACGGGUGGCAGCAGUGGGGAAUUUUGCGCAAUGGGGGAAACCCUGACGCAGCAACUCCGCGUGGAGGAUGAAGCCCCUUGGGGCGUAAACUCCUUUCGACCAAGAUGAUAAUGACGGUACUGGUGGAAGAAGCACCGGCUAACUCUGUGCCAGCAUCCGCGGUAAUU